UACGUAGGGCGCAAGCGUUGUCCGGAAUUAUUGGGCGUAAAGAGCUCGUAGGCGGCUAGUCGCGUCUGCUGUGAAAUCCCGGGGCUCAACCCCGGGCGUGCAGUGGAUACGGGCUGGCUCGAGUUCGGUAGGGGAGACUGGAAUUCCUGGUGUAGCGGUGAAAUGCGCAGAUAUCAGGAGGAACACCGAUGGCGAAGGCAGGUCUCUGGGCCGAUACUGACGCUGAGGAGCGAAAGCGUGGGGAGCGAACAGG
RNAcentral lists this ribosomal RNA (253 nucleotides) under uncultured bacterium. RNAcentral's name for it is "partial 16S ribosomal RNA". It matches the Rfam family "Bacterial small subunit ribosomal RNA", at positions 524 to 776 of the family's 1533-position model. The record is from RNAcentral.